CCUACGGGGAGCUGCAGUGGGGGAUAUUGCACAAUGGGGGGAACCCUGAUGCAGCGACGCCGCGUGGAUGAAGGAGUGCUUCGGCAUGUAAAGCCCUAUCGGCAGGGAAGAAGAAAGACGGUACCUGACUAAGCAGCCCCGGCUAACUACGUGCCAGCAGCGGCGGUAAUCGGGAGGGGUCGCGCGUUAUCCGGAUUCACUGGGUGUAAAGGGAGCGUAGACGGCCAAGCAAGCCAGGGUUGAAAGCCCGGGGCCCAACCCCGGGACUGCCCUUGGAACUGCUUGGCUGGAGUGCGGGAGGGGCAGGCGGAAUUCCUGGUGUAGCGGUGAAAUGCGUAGAUAUCAGGAGGAACACCGGCGGCGAAGGCGGCCUGCUGGACCGCGACUGACGUUGAGGCUCGAAAGCGUGGGGAGCGAACAGGAUUAGAUACCCUAGUAGUC
Molecule: ribosomal RNA, 441 nt
Filed under: uncultured bacterium
Lineage: Bacteria
Description: partial 16S ribosomal RNA
Rfam family: Bacterial small subunit ribosomal RNA
Source: RNAcentral